GGUGAUCUGGACUUCCCGUGAUACAGUGGAUAAUUUCCUUGAGCCUAUUUUUUUACCUUGGGAGCGACGUUUUAAUUCUGUGUGCAUGACUGCAAGACGGUAAGCCUGACGAAUUUCAAUGAAACACCCACUUGAACCUCUGGUUCAAGGCUGAAGCUGUACACGAUACUCUGGAGCCGUC
This 181-nucleotide non-coding RNA is filed under the name Thiothrix nivea. RNAcentral's name for it is "6S RNA". It matches the Rfam family "6S / SsrS RNA". From Rfam's summary of the family: E. coli 6S RNA was the first non coding RNA to be sequenced, but its function was unknown until recently. It consists of 184 nucleotides that fold into an extended hairpin structure with a large single-stranded internal bulge. Lineage: Bacteria; Pseudomonadati; Pseudomonadota; Gammaproteobacteria; Thiotrichales; Thiotrichaceae. The record is from RNAcentral.